AGUGAACGCUGGCGGUAGGCCUAACACAUGCAAGUCGAACGGCAGCACAGUAAGAGCUUGCUCUUACGGGUGGCGAGUGGCGGACGGGUGAUGAAUACAUCGGAAUCUACUUUUUCGUGGGGGAUAACGUAGGGAAACUUACGCUAAUACCGCAUACGACCUACGGGUGAAAGCAGGGGAUCUUCGGACCUUGCGCGAUUGAAUGAGCCGAUGUCGGAUUAGCUAGUUGGCGGGGUAAAGGCCCACCAAGGCGACGAUCCGUAGCUGGUCUGAGAGGAUGAUCAGCCACACUGGAACUGAGACACGGUCCAGACUCCUACGGGAGGCAGCAGUGGGGAAUAUUGGACAAUGGGCGCAAGCCUGAUCCGGCCAUACCGCGUGGGUGAAGAAGGCCUUCGGGUUGUAAAGCCCUUUUGUUGGGAAAGAAAAGCAGCAGGUUAAUACCCCGCUGUUCUGACGGUACCCAAAGAAUAAGCACCGGCUAACUUCGUG
Molecule: ribosomal RNA, 492 nt
Filed under: uncultured bacterium
Lineage: Bacteria
Description: partial 16S ribosomal RNA
Rfam family: Bacterial small subunit ribosomal RNA
Source: RNAcentral